UACAGAGGUCUCAAGCGUUGUUCGGAUUCAUUGGGCGUAAAGGGUGCGUAGGCGGCGCGGUAAGUCAGGUGUGAAAUCUCGGGGCUUAACUCCGAAACUGCAUUUGAUACUGCGGUGCUUGAGGACUGGAGAGGAGACUGGAAUUUACGGUGUAGCGGUGAAAUGCGUAGAUAUCGUAAGGAAGACCAGUGGCGAAGGCGGGUCUCUGGACAGUUCCUGACACUGAGGCACGAAGGCCAGGGGAGCAAACGGG
RNAcentral lists this ribosomal RNA (253 nucleotides) under uncultured bacterium. RNAcentral's name for it is "partial 16S ribosomal RNA". It matches the Rfam family "Bacterial small subunit ribosomal RNA", at positions 524 to 776 of the family's 1533-position model. The record is from RNAcentral.